GAUGAACGCUGGCGGCGUGCCUAAUACAUGCAAGUCGAGCGAACGGACGAGAAGCUUGCUUCUCUGAUGUUAGCGGCGGACGGGUGAGUAACACGUGGAUAACCUACCUAUAAGACUGGGAUAACUUCGGGAAACCGGAGCUAAUACCGGAUAAUAUUUUGAACCGCAUGGUUCAAAAGUGAAAGACGGUCUUGCUGUCACUUAUAGAUGGAUCCGCGCUGCAUUAGCUAGUUGGUAAGGUAACGGCUUACCAAGGCAACGAUGCAUAGCCGACCUGAGAGGGUGAUCGCCCACCCUGGAACUGAAACACGGUCCAGCCUCCUACGGGAGGCAGCAGUAGGGAAUCUUCGGCAAUGGGCGAAAGCCUGACGGAGCAACGCCGCGUGAGUGAUGAAGGUCUUCGGAUCGUAAAACUCUGUUAUUAGGGAAGAACAUAUGUGUAAGUAACUGUGCACAUCUUGACGGUACCUAAUCAGAAAGCCACGGCUAACUACGUG
Molecule: ribosomal RNA, 497 nt
Filed under: uncultured bacterium
Lineage: Bacteria
Description: partial 16S ribosomal RNA
Rfam family: Bacterial small subunit ribosomal RNA
Source: RNAcentral